RNAcentral lists this transfer RNA (67 nucleotides) under Owenia fusiformis. Its description in RNAcentral is "tRNA-His". Lineage: Eukaryota; Metazoa; Annelida; Polychaeta; Sabellida; Oweniidae. The record is from RNAcentral.
GUUGAAGUAUUUUAUUAUAAAAUUUCAUAUUGUGGUUGUGAAGAAACAAAAUUUUUUGUCUUUAACA